AUUGAACGCUGGCGGCAUGCCUUACACAUGCAAGUCGAACGGUAACGGGCCUUCGGGUGCCGACGAGUGGCGAACGGGUGAGUAAUACAUCGGAACGUGCCCGAUCGUGGGGGAUAACGAGGCGAAAGCUUUGCUAAUACCGCAUACGAUCUACGGAUGAAAGCAGGGGACCGCAAGGCCUUGCGCGGACGGAGCGGCCGAUGGCAGAUUAGGUAGUUGGUGGGAUAAAAGCUUACCAAGCCGAAGAUCUGUAGCUGGUCUGAGAGGAUGAUCAGCCACACUGGGACUGAGACACGGCCCAGACUCCGACGGGAGGCAGCAGUGGGGAAUUUUGGACAAUGGGCGCAAGCCUGAUCCAGCCAUGCCGCGUGCAGGAUGAAGGCCUUCGGGUUGUAAACUGCUUUUGUACGGAACGAAAAGCCUUCUUUUAAUACAGGAGGGUCAUGACGGUACCGUAAGAAUAAGCACCGGCUAACUACGUG
RNAcentral lists this ribosomal RNA (482 nucleotides) under uncultured bacterium. RNAcentral describes it as "partial 16S ribosomal RNA". It matches the Rfam family "Bacterial small subunit ribosomal RNA", at positions 30 to 507 of the family's 1533-position model. The record is from RNAcentral.